RNAcentral lists this ribosomal RNA (253 nucleotides) under uncultured bacterium. RNAcentral describes it as "partial 16S ribosomal RNA". It matches the Rfam family "Bacterial small subunit ribosomal RNA", at positions 524 to 776 of the family's 1533-position model. The record is from RNAcentral.
UACGGAGGGUGCAAGCGUUGCUCGGAAUUACUGGGCGUAAAGAGCGCGCAGGCGGUCGACCAAGUCGAGUGUGAAAGCCCCCGGCUCAACUGGGGAGGGUCAUUCGAUACUGAUCGACUCGAAGGCAGGAGAGGGAAGUGGAAUUCCGGGUGUAGUGGUGAAAUGCGUAGAUAUCCGGAGGAACACCAGUGGCGAAGGCGGCUCUCUGGGACGGUACUGACGCUGAGACGCGAAAGCGUGGGGAGCGAACAGG